Long non-coding RNA from Capsicum annuum, 378 nucleotides. RefSeq lists it as uncharacterized. NCBI's taxonomy places the organism in Eukaryota, Viridiplantae, Streptophyta, Magnoliopsida, Solanales, Solanaceae. The transcript has 3 exons. The record is from RefSeq and is a predicted model, not a curated record.
CCAAUUCUUUCUUUUCUUCUACACACAAGAAUUAGAAACAUAGAAGUGAGGUUUCUACUGAGAAUAUAUUAGAAAGGCUUAGAUGCAUCUUUCAUCACCUGCUACACCUCCGUUCUGAAGCUUUGUCCUCUUUCAAUUGCAGGAUGGCAAGAAAGGGAACGUUGUAGCAUAUAAACCAUGGGUAAUGGGCAGGAUAAAAUCUUUAUGGGGUGAUGACAGAGAGGAUUUCCAUCCUGAGAGAUGGUUUGAUGAAAAUGAUUGUUUUCGGCAAGAAACUCCCUUUGAGUACACAGCCUUUCAGUCCCCCAUGUUUGAAAUAUUGGAGCACUUUUAAUCUCCUUCACAAGUUGUUCUUCAUCAGCAGGUAUUUUUGUUCAU